Molecule: ribosomal RNA, 255 nt
Filed under: uncultured bacterium
Lineage: Bacteria
Description: partial 16S ribosomal RNA
Rfam family: Bacterial small subunit ribosomal RNA
Source: RNAcentral
GUCCACGCCGUAAACGAUGGAUACUAGCUGUUGGGGGCAACCUCAGUGGCUAAGCGAAAGUGAUAAGUAUCCCACCUGGGGAGUACGGGCGCAAGCCUGAAACUCAAAGGAAUUGACGGGGGCCCGCACAAGCGGUGGAGCAUGUGGUUUAAUUCGAUGAUACGCGAGGAACCUUACCAAGGCUUAAAUGUAGUUUGACCGAUUUGGAAACAGAUCUUUCGCAAGACAAAUUACAAGGUGCUGCAUGGUUGUCGU